This 254-nucleotide ribosomal RNA is filed under the name uncultured bacterium. RNAcentral's name for it is "partial 16S ribosomal RNA". It matches the Rfam family "Bacterial small subunit ribosomal RNA", at positions 524 to 776 of the family's 1533-position model. The record is from RNAcentral.
UACGUAGGGACCAAGCGUUGUUCGGAUUUACUGGGCGUAAAGGGCGCGUAGGCGGCAAUUCAAGUCAGCUGUGAAAUCUCCGGGCUUAACCCGGAACGGUCAGGUGAUACUGUUUUGCUAGAGUGCGGAAGGGGCAAUCGGAAUUCUCGGUGUAGCGGUGAAAUGCGUAGAUAUCGAGAGGAACACCAGAGGUGAAGACGGGUUGCUGGGCCGACACUGACGCUGACAGCGCGAAAGCCAGGGGAGCAAACAGG